UUUUGCUGCUAGAAAUAUGGAUAAAAAAUAUUGCUUGUGACUCCAGUGAAAUGAGCCUGCUCUUAGAGAGCCUUCUACAAUCUAUCUUGUUUGUGCACUUUAGACUUCAGAAGAACUAACCUUAUUGGAAUAGAGUUGGAAACAUUGGAUCAUUGGCCAAAGCUUUAAAGAAAAUGUUUCCUUGCUACAGAAAGAACAUUAGCAUUCUCACAAAGAAGGUUCCAUAGAAACAAGAAAUACAUUUUUACAGCAAAACUCCCUUUGAUGUGAAUCUUGAGCAAAGCACAAAAAAAGGGCCAGUGGGAUUCUAUUUCCUUCUGUGUACGCUUUUGCAAUUCUUUUUUUUUUUUUUUUUUUUGCUAAUGGGCCACCUGGGAUAUUGUCUUUCUGGUGACUGAACUAAGGCACCUUAGCAGGGUGGGAGGGAUACAAAGGAUUCCUCAAAGGAACGCACUUGCUCUAAGCAGCUUCUCAGAGGGAAAUAUUUCUGUGUCUUUUACCCAUCUUUUCGGUUUCUUCACAAUGUCUCCUUCACCUUACAGUUGCACAGCAGAAGUGCAACUUGAAUUACCAGCCAGCAUCAGCUCCAGCAGUCUGCUCCUGACAGAAGAUAAUGCUGGAGAAAAAAAAUCAAGAAAUUACCUUACUGGCAACAAAGAAAUGUCAGGCUCUUUCUUCAAACAAGGAGCAAAAAAGCUACAUUGCACUGAUUGGAAAAAACAAAUCUUAUUUUCCAUGUCUGUGCCCUGAACAAAAAAAGAAGUAGAUGAAAGGAUGGUGUUGUAACAGAUCAGGCUUCAUACCACAUCAGAGUUUAUCAAGAAAAUGACAUACAGACAUAAUAGUUGCAGGAUAGCAACUCAUAGGUCAAGAAAAAACAGAAAGGUAAUUUCAUUUGCUCCAGAUCUCCAGAAAGUCUUUAAGAAUUGGUAAGAACCUGGUGGCAGCAAACCACCAGACAUACUUGUUUGUCAAGGAACAAAGCUCUCAUAAUAUGAUGGGCAAUGUCACAAAAAAGCAUGAAAUUCUUAUGUAGAAUGAAUUAGUCUUCAAAAGAGGCAGGCAUCUGAUCAAACAUCUAAUUGUUAAUCAGUUGUCGAGCAAUUUCACUACUCCUACUAAAUUCAAAAUCAUAUUAUGACUAAUUUCAGCCACAUACCAUCUGCAAAGCAGCCUGAAUACUUUGCUUACAUUCUGGCCUGUACACUAACAACAGAUAAUUAUUAAACGGCGUAAUGACCUGCUAAGAAUACUGUGGAAAACCCGCUGUAGUACUGGUUUAUUGGAAUUCAUUAGAGAAUGAUGUUUGAAAUCAGCUGCGUUACUAACACUAGCCAAAUAUCUGGUUUUAUGUGUGGGCUUAUCUCUCCAUAAUCACUCCCACAUGGACUAAAGUUUGUGUUUAGUUCUGACAGUAGAAGUAAAAGAGAAGCUAUCACUGGUAAUAACAAUUCUAGUCACGUACUGGACCAGGUUCAUUCCUGAAAUAAUUCUAGUCAAAGGUGUUCAGACUACUAUAUGCAUUAAUUUAAUCUACUAGAUUUGCCCAUUGCAUGCUAUCUUGGGUCAUCCUUAUAUUCUCACUAACCAGCAAUGGAUGUAACACACUGUUAGGAAAACACUUGCUUAUAGCAGUGACGUCACCCCAAAGUGAAAACAGAUGCUAACUAAAUUCUAAUAUGCGCAAGAAAGUGUGUUGGCAGCUGCAACAAAUAUCACAGUAACUGUGGAAUUCUCAUAUUGCAAUGUCUGACAAUACAAAGCAUAAGAAGCAACUAGAAAUCUAAAAGAAAACUGAAGGUGCCACCCCUAAAGAGGAAAUCUACAGAACAACAUUCUACAAUCUACAUCAAAUCUACAACAUCAUUAAAAAAAACAACACAGAAAAAUGUAUAGAAAAUUCCACCAGGUACCUCAUAUCACCACUUUUUCUCAUAUGCAGUGAGAAAAAUACUCACACCUCACCUCAUCCAUCUGAAUAGAGCUCAGUAAGAACUCUGAUCUGAAGGAUGAAUGAACCUUUGAACAAGUCAAGUCAUUUGAGAAAUGCAGAGAAACUUACCAUGAUGCAAAAGAUCAAGUGUCACUGCAUGCACAUCUCUCAUUGCCCUAUUGUACCCUAAACUAAAAAUUUAGUGUGAAAAAUCUUAGAGUUACAGUCUAAGCUAGAAAGAAACAUCAUAUUGUGCAAGAAUUUUGCCCAGAAACUCCACUCAUUGCUCUUAAGUAAAGUUUAGAGACUUGGCUGUCCUGAUUGCCAACAGCAAAUUUUCUUUAGGAUAUCAUACAUCAGACCAUUUUGAGGCAAAACCACUUCCAGUUUGUCAACAAAUUUCCUGCAGUAAAGGCUACAGAGGAAUCAAAUUGUUAUGCAAGUCAUCCCAUGCAUCAAAUGUCCUUAUAACAAUUACCUCUGUGGAGUCGAAGACUGAAUACAUGCUAAACUGAGCUCAUCCAGGCAAUAGAGAUCACAUCCAACCAGUUUUUUGCACUGUUUUCAUGGAGCAAUGGUGUCAUGUUUGAGUAGUGAGCUCUUUGGCAACCUGCAAACAAACUACAGAGUCAGGGUGGGGGUUACACUCAACGACCCGUUUCUUGCUUAAGUGUAGCAGAGCUAAGAGAUGCCGGCUUUCUAAGACAAUACUAUCUUCUCCCUUCCCUCUCCUGUCAGCUUCUCACUUUGCUAUUGCUGAUUAUUACUGUCUCUCUUCACCUCAUAGGGCCUAACUAACUUAUUUCCAGCAUUCUAGGAGAUUCCUUUAUUUCUAUGAAGUCACACACUUUCUCCUCCCCACAGCAAGCGUUCUCCCUGGUCAAGGAACUCUUUUUUUGCUUCUACGGUAGGUCAACAUAUAAAAAUAAGCAGGUCCCACCCACCCAGACAGUAGGUCAACACAUAAAAGAAAUAGGUUCUACCCACUCAGGAAAAAAAAAAAAAAAAGCGUGCUGAAAUAUUUCUUCUCUUCUCUCAGUAAUCCAUAAGAGAACCUAUAGACUCUAGUUUACUUUUACACUAAAUCUGUUCACAUUUGAAACAACAAAGGCAGUAGCAAUUAUAUGCUGCUUGAGUUUUCAAACCACUGCCUCUGUCUUGUAACUCCAACAAACAGAUAUUUAAUCUCUAUUGAUCUAUUUAGCUAACCCUUCCAGCACGUGCGCUUGGGUACACAGUGUCUAUUAUAUUCACUUAGAUUUCUAGUGCUUUUUCUGGAGUGCUUUUUACAAACACAGCAGUAUCUCUUGUGGUUUUAAUCAAAGACAUUUGCAUGGCAUGACCCACUUAGAUCUGCAGCUAAUGCUGUGAACUAUUUUAUUUUUUCAAGUAUCAAGGCUAUGCAAUUACUGAAUGGUAAGCUCACCUAUAUCACUAAACACCUGCCAAGAAGAAUAUUGCAAAAAAAUCUCAAGACAUACAAGCUGGGCUGAAGAAGCAAUAGUAAGUAUGUAGCACAAAACUGGAUGAAAAACAGAUACAUAAACAUUUCCAUCUGUAAUCUCUCUGACACAUGGAUUAUUGCUGAAGUUUAAAUUCUGAGAUUCAACAUCUUAGCAUUUAUCCACUUCUAACAUGGAUCUUCUGAAAUCUUGCCAAGGGAAUGCCAGCUAAGUCUAACUGUCCUCAUAUCUCUUUAAGAUAUGCACAAACAGUAAAACCAUAGAAGAGUGAAACAACUUCCAAAAAGGAUUCCAGGUCAUUGAGUCUGACUGGAAAUAGUGUGAAGCAUAUCUGGCCAUAUCAGUUAUUCCACAGUCUAUUCACAGAAACAGUAUUGUCUGAUUGCAAGACGUCUUGUCAAAUCUUUGCAUAAUCACAACCCAUCAGCAGGACAAAGCAAAUGAAGUGCAAAUAUUAGAAGAUGAAACAAUUACUUUUCGUUGAAUACAGAGGAAUGGUAAUUAUGAUCUGAUUUUGUUUCCUUUUUAAUAGCUUUAUGUCAUCUACU
Gallus gallus (chicken) is the source of this 3944-nucleotide long non-coding RNA. The record is from Ensembl. NCBI's taxonomy places the organism in Eukaryota, Metazoa, Chordata, Aves, Galliformes, Phasianidae.